This 305-nucleotide ribosomal RNA is filed under the name uncultured bacterium. RNAcentral describes it as "bacterial SSU rRNA". It matches the Rfam family "Bacterial small subunit ribosomal RNA", at positions 333 to 635 of the family's 1533-position model. The record is from RNAcentral.
GGCUACCUACGGGACGCAGCAGUGAGGAAUAUUGGUCAAUGGGCGGAAACCUGAACCAGCCAAGUCGCGUGAGGGAAGAAGGCCCUGCGGGUCGCAGACCUCUUUGGACAGGGAGCAAGGCCGCCGACGUGUCGGCGGAAGGAGAGUACCCGUAGAACAAGCAUCGGCUAACUCCGUGCCAGCAGCCGCGGUAAUACGGAGGAUGCGAGCGUUAUCCGGAUUUAUUGGGUUUAAAGGGUGCGCAGGCGGCACGGCAAGCCGGCGGUCAAAUCGCGGGGCUCAACCCCGCCCCGCCGUCGGAACUG